Cinara cedri is the source of this 478-nucleotide non-coding RNA. The record is from the annotation of a GenBank genome assembly. Lineage: Eukaryota; Metazoa; Arthropoda; Insecta; Hemiptera; Aphididae.
GGCGUGCACGUGUUGGUCGUGCUGCGAUGUAGUCGCGUGCCGGCGUUUUUCCGCUUACCGAUCGCAGUGUGCCGGGCCACGUGGGUAUCGGCCGCGGCGUAUACGAUAACCGCGGUAUACGGUCGCGAACACGCGACUGCGUUUCAUUUUGUCCGAACGGCAUUUCUUUUCUUUUUUCUUUUUUUUUUUUCGGCCGUUCAGCGAUAUUGUAAUUAUUAUUAUUGCCGUUACUAAUACAAUUCUCGCGAACGCUUACACUCGGGACGAUCGUCGCGACAGAUAUUAUUGCCGAAACGUUAACGGAAAAGAAAAAAAACAAACCGACCCCACGAUAUUGUGACGAUAAACAGUGACGGUUUUCGACGACAUUACCACAACGUUAUCGGUGUAUCGACAGUCGACGCGCGCGGAUCCUCGUUUAAUCGGGUUGUUAUCAUUGCGGUUUUUUUUUUUUUCUGUCUCUCUUAAUCAUGUCGGU